AUCUUUGUGUAGUGGCAGUAUCAUAUUCCAUGAGGCUUAUCCAAGGCCUGAUUAUUGCUAAUUGACAACUUUACCUGAUACCAUGCCUUGGUGACUUGAAUCAUAAUCAGCUAUGGCAACUUUUGGUAGUUUCCAGUGAGA
Molecule: small nuclear RNA, 141 nt
Organism: Nerophis ophidion (straightnose pipefish)
Lineage: Eukaryota; Metazoa; Chordata; Actinopteri; Syngnathiformes; Syngnathidae
Product: U4 spliceosomal RNA
Exons: 1
Source: RefSeq, a predicted model, not a curated record